Molecule: ribosomal RNA, 468 nt
Filed under: uncultured bacterium
Lineage: Bacteria
Description: partial 16S ribosomal RNA
Rfam family: Bacterial small subunit ribosomal RNA
Source: RNAcentral
GACGAACGCUGGCGGCGUGCUUAACACAUGCAAGUCGAACGGAAAGGCCCUGCUUUUGUGGGGUGCUCGAGUGGCGAACGGGUGAGUAACACGAGAGUAACCUGCCCUUGACUUUGGGAUAACUUAAGGAAACUGGGGCUAAUACCGGAUAGGAGCUCCUGCUGCAUGGUGGGGGUUGGAAAGUUUCGGCGGUUGGGGAUGGAGUUGCGGGUUUUCAGCCCGUUGGUGGGGUAGUGGCUUACCAAGGCUUUGACGGGUAGCCGGCCUGAGAGGGUGACCGGCCACGUUGGGACUGAGAUGCGGCCCAGACGCCUACGGGAGGGAGCAGUGGGGAAUAUUGUACAAUGGGCGGAAGCCGUAUGCAGCAACGCCGCGUGCGGGGUGAAGGCCUUCGGGUUGUAAACCGCUUUCGCCUGUGACGAAGCGUGAGUGACGGUAAUGGGUAAAGAAGCACCGGCUAACUACGUG